This 383-nucleotide long non-coding RNA is filed under the name Gallus gallus (chicken). RNAcentral describes it as "long non-coding RNA NONGGAT002515". Lineage: Eukaryota; Metazoa; Chordata; Aves; Galliformes; Phasianidae. The record is from RNAcentral.
GUAAGAAGUACAGAGCAUACCUAAAAACAAUAGGUUGGUAACAGACAUUGUUUAGCAAUGUAUCAUAGCAACAGAGCAGAGAAGACUGUGAGCCGAGACACUCAACCAAUAAGUGCCAGCAGAGGCUUUACCUGUGUUGGACCCAGGGGACGAAAGGGAAUGGAUUUCACCUACUAGAUCCAUCACAGAUGAAUAACGUUAUGCCAACAUCCCCCCUCCUUCCUCAGAUGGCACAUCAACACUCAUAUCCCAGCUUGGGACAGAUCACAAACCCAUAUGAGCAACAGCCCCCAGGCAAAGAGCUUAACAAGUAUGCCUCUCUAAAGGCAGUCGGUAAGUCAGUAACAUUAUGCAUGACUUCUGCUACCCGGCAGCACGCUGCA